AGGGACAUGGAUGAAGCUGGAAACCAUCAUUCUCAGCAAACUAUCGCAAGGACAAAAAAACAGACACCGCAUGUUCUCACUCACAGGUAUGAUGGCAUAUUCCUGUGGUACCAGCUACUUAGGAGACUGAGGUGAGAGAUACAGCUUGAGCCAGGGAGGUUGAGCCUGCAGUGAGCCGUGAAUAUGCCACUUCACUCCAGCCUGGGCAACAGAGCCAGAUCCCAUCUCCAAGGGAAAAAAAAAACCACUCCUAGAUGAUUACUCUAGAAUAGAAUCUAUGUCCUCAAGGAGCCAUGAAAGGGAACUCAAAGGAUUUCAGGAUUGGCAGGAACACCAAGAGAAGGCGGAAAUCUUCAAGUCAGAAAGAGAGCUCGCUGAAACCUGACCAUGUUGGCACCCUGAUCUUAGACUUCCAGGCUCUGAAACUAUACUUGUUGCAUGGUUUCCAUUCUGUGCUGCCUUCUCUUCUGGACGAUGGGGUUAGGAUAGUGAAUGAGAAG
Molecule: long non-coding RNA, 500 nt
Filed under: Homo sapiens (human)
Lineage: Eukaryota; Metazoa; Chordata; Mammalia; Primates; Hominidae
Description: HSALNT0309374
Source: RNAcentral